RNAcentral lists this ribosomal RNA (253 nucleotides) under uncultured bacterium. RNAcentral describes it as "partial 16S ribosomal RNA". It matches the Rfam family "Bacterial small subunit ribosomal RNA", at positions 524 to 776 of the family's 1533-position model. The record is from RNAcentral.
UACGGAGGGUGCACACGUUAUCCGGAUUCACUGGGUUUAACGGGUGCGUAGGAGGGCAGGUAAGUCAGUGGUGAGAUCUCCAAGCUUAACUUGGAAACUGCCGUUGAUACUAUCUGUCUUGAAUACCGUGGAGAUGAGCGGAAUAUGUCAUGUAGCGGUGAAAUGCUUAGAUAUGACAUAGAACACCAAUUGCGAAGGCAGCUCGUUACACGAAUAUUGACUCUGAGGCACGAAAGCGUGGGGAUCAAACAGG